This 459-nucleotide ribosomal RNA is filed under the name uncultured bacterium. RNAcentral describes it as "partial 16S ribosomal RNA". It matches the Rfam family "Bacterial small subunit ribosomal RNA", at positions 338 to 795 of the family's 1533-position model. The record is from RNAcentral.
CCUACGGGGGGCAGCAGUGAGGAAUAUUGGUCAAUGGCCGCAGGGCUGAACCAGCCAAGUCGCGUGAGGGAUGACGGUCCUAUGGAUUGUAAACCUCUUUUGUCAGGGAGCAAAGGGCGCCACGUGUGGCGUUUUGCGAGUACCUGAAGAAAAAGCAUCGGCUAACUCCGUGCCAGCAGCCGCGGUAAUACGGAGGAAGAGAGCGUUAUCCGGAUUUAGUGGGGUUCAAGGGUGCGCAGGCGGAAUGUCAAGUCAGAGGGAAAAUUUCGGGGCUCAACCCCGUCGUGCCGUUGAAACUGGCGUGCUUGAGUGAGCGAGAAGUAUGCGGAAUGCGUGGUGUAGCGGUGAAAUGCAUAGAUAUCACGCAGAACUCCGAUUGCGAAGGCAGCAUACCGGCGCUCAACUGACGCUCAUGCACGAAAGCGUGGGUAUCGAACAGGAUUAGAUACCCGAGUAGUC